This 1287-nucleotide ribosomal RNA is filed under the name metagenome. RNAcentral describes it as "bacterial SSU rRNA". It matches the Rfam family "Bacterial small subunit ribosomal RNA", at positions 242 to 1520 of the family's 1533-position model. The record is from RNAcentral.
UAGCUAGUUGGUGAGGUAACGGCUUACCAAGGCGACGAUCUGUAGCGGGUCUGAGAGGAUGAUCCGCCACACUGGAACUGAGACACGGUCCAGACUCCUACGGGAGGCAGCAGUGGGGAAUUUUGGACAAUGGGGGCAACCCUGAUCCAGCCAUGCCGCGUGAGUGAAGAAGGCCUUCGGGUUGUAAAGCUCUUUCGGCCGGGAAGAAAUCGCAGGGGCCAAUACCCUGUGUGGAUGACGGUACCGGAAUAAGAAGCACCGGCUAACUACGUGCCAGCAGCCGCGGUAAUACGUAGGGUGCGAGCGUUAAUCGGAAUUACUGGGCGUAAAGCGUGCGCAGGCGGUUUUGUAAGACAGGCGUGAAAUCCCCGGGCUCAACCUGGGAACUGCGUUUGUGACUGCAAGGCUAGAGUACGGCAGAGGGGGGUGGAAUUCCACGUGUAGCAGUGAAAUGCGUAGAGAUGUGGAGGAACACCAAUGGCGAAGGCAGCCCCCUGGGUCGAUACUGACGCUCAUGCACGAAAGCGUGGGUAGCAAACAGGAUUAGAUACCCUGGUAGUCCACGCCCUAAACUAUGUCAACUAGGUGUUGGGUGGGUAAAACCAUUUAGUACCGUAGCUAACGCGUGAAGUUGACCGCCUGGGGAGUACGGCCGCAAGGUUAAAACUCAAAGGAAUUGACGGGGACCCGCACAAGCGGUGGAUGAUGUGGAUUAAUUCGAUGCAACGCGAAAAACCUUACCUACCCUUGACAUGCCAGGAACUUGCCAGAGAUGGCUUGGUGCCCGAAAGGGAGCCUGGACACAGGUGCUGCAUGGCUGUCGUCAGCUCGUGUCGUGAGAUGUUGGGUUAAGUCCCGCAACGAGCGCAACCCUUGUCGUUAAUUGCCAUCAUUUAGUUGGGCACUUUAGCGAGACUGCCGGUGACAAACCGGAGGAGGGUGGGGAUGACGUCAAGUCCUCAUGGCCCUUAUGGGUAGGGCUUCACACGUCAUACAAUGGUCGGUACAGAGGGUCGCCAAGCCGCGAGGUGGAGCCAAUCCCAGAAAGCCGAUCGUAGUCCGGAUUGCAGGCUGCAACUCGCCUGCAUGAAGUCGGAAUCGCUAGUAAUCGUGGAUCAGCAUGUCACGGUGAAUACGUUCCCGGGUCUUGUACAUACCGCCCGUCACACCAUGGGAGCGGGUUCCGCCAGAAGUAGGUAGCCUAACCGCAAGGAGGGCGCUUACCACGGCGGGGUUCGUGACUGGGGUGAAGUCGUAACAAGGUAGCCGUAGGGGAACCUGCGGCUG